UUCACUGACCAGCAGAGAGCGCUAUAUAAACCUAAGUCACCGGGCAUCUUGUAAUCACUGGCUAAAUUAAUAGUGUUUUGCAAGGGGGGGAAACGGCAAAAGAACGUUACAUCCAAUAAAAAAAAAAAAUCAUGUGAAAAUGUAUAUUUAUGAAGACUGCCAAUAGGGGUACCUUUGUUAUCUUUUUUUUCUGUUGUUUUGUGUCUGCCUCUGAACAGAAAGUGAAAGACGCAGGACUUUUGGGUAUUCCCCUUCAAUCUGUUCUCACGGGAAAUACAUACAGUACUAACAUUUUGUGUCUCUUCGCACAAAGAAGUGGUUGGAAUAGUUAGCUGGUGUCCAGAGGACUUGAGCCAUGAAUGUCCCAAAGUGUCCCAGUUGUCAUCAGUUUAAUGUCAUAGUUAUGGAUGGUCAGUGUGCAGUCUGCAGAUCUUGCUCUGUAGUGAACAGGUCUGUGUUUCGUUUCUGUGUGGCAUGUCAGAGAGAGUUGCCACACAGCGCUUCGAUCACCAAUUCCUGCACACUGCCGAACUGUGCGCUCCGUGCUGCCCUCCUCAGCGACACAAAAAUCACUGAUCCACACAGCUCUGCGAGAGGAUGUCCAUACUUCAGGGCCUGCCUAGGGUGCAAGACCCUGCUUACACACAACGGAAAAGGCUGCCCCAAUAUCAUCUGCCCUCAGUGUAACACACAUUUCUGCUUCCGCUGCCUCCGUCAGUGCUGCCCCGGGAUACAGGAUAUUGAAACCCUUCGGCUUCUUACCCAUCGACUGUCAAAUUACCUGUUGACUAAUGAUGUAAUUCCAUGCCGAAUUGUGGACAACAAUCAGAGUCUCACUGCUUUUGGACUUUAAUGUAAAAGAUGUGACUAUAAAAACUGAUAAAAGGGAGAACAUUAAAACCCACCUACAGUAUAAUGGAAAAUGUUCAGCUAAGGCUGAACAUUUUGUGAUUUAUAAUGGAAUAUAAACAUAUUUCACCAAGAUUAUAAUCAGGCAUUGUAAUAUGCCUUCAAGGAAGUAAUUUAAUUUUAGUCAGUAAAUAAACUUGGCCAUUACUGAAAAUAUAUACUAACUCAUUUAAAACAAUGUUUUUUUUUAUUUUUUAUUUAUAUAUAUGUUUUUUUUUAACCUUUAUUGAGAACUGUUUCUCAUUUGCAACAGCAACCUGGCCAAGAUGAAAGUGUUAAGGUACAGAUAACAUAAAAUUAA
Carassius auratus (goldfish) is the source of this 1210-nucleotide long non-coding RNA. RefSeq lists it as uncharacterized. The record is from RefSeq and is a predicted model, not a curated record. The transcript has 3 exons. Lineage: Eukaryota; Metazoa; Chordata; Actinopteri; Cypriniformes; Cyprinidae.